RNAcentral lists this unclassified non-coding RNA (536 nucleotides) under Hevea brasiliensis (rubber tree). The record is from RNAcentral. Lineage: Eukaryota; Viridiplantae; Streptophyta; Magnoliopsida; Malpighiales; Euphorbiaceae.
UGAAAUAUUAUAUCUUAAUUUUAGCACAUAAGCAACAAAUUUCUGAAACAUUUCUUGUUUUUUAAAAAAAAAAAGUUAACAAGAAAAAUUAAAAUGGUUCAAAAUUCAUGGACAAGUUUUGUGAUUUUCCAAAUAUCCUUAUAUAGCAAUAUUCCUUGAUGAAAUAAAACAAAUCCAGAUAUAUAUAUAUAUAAUCAUAAGUCAUAAGAAGUCUAAUCUAUCAGAAACAUGCAAGUCCAGAAUAAAAUUCUUAGAUAUUAAUUUGAUUAAAUUGCAAAGAUAGGUAAAUAGUCCUCUAUAAAAAAGUUCCAAACAGAACUGAAAAUAUAAGCAGGUGUAGCUAAAGUCCACACGAGAAAAUCCUCCUAUCAAGCAAAGGCAAACCAUUUUCAAAACCUUAUCACGUAAUACAUUUAAAAUUGCAAGGACUCCAUAAUUAAUUAUAAACUUUACAGGCUCAUAAUGAUCAAUCUAUUCUCUUCUCGUGAUCAAUUAAAAUUUCUAUCAAUUGACUGUAAUAACAAUUCUUCUGUGUG